This 497-nucleotide ribosomal RNA is filed under the name uncultured bacterium. Its description in RNAcentral is "partial 16S ribosomal RNA". It matches the Rfam family "Bacterial small subunit ribosomal RNA", at positions 28 to 507 of the family's 1533-position model. The record is from RNAcentral.
GAUGAACGCUGGCGGCGUGCCUAAUACAUGCAAGUCGAGCGAACAGACGAGGCGCUUGCUCCUCUGACGUUAGCGGCGGACGGGUGAGUAACACGUGGAUAACCUACCUAUAAGACUGGGAUAACUUCGGGAAACCGGAGCUAAUACCGGAUAAUAUAUUGAACCGCAUGGUUCAAUAGUGAAAGACGGUUUUGCUGUCACUUAUAGAUGGAUCCGCGCGGCAUUAGCUAGUUGGUAAGGUAACGGCUUACCAAGGCAACGAUGCGUAGACGACCUGAUAGGGUGAUAGGCGACACUGGAACUGAGCCACGGUCAAGAGUACUAAGGGAGGCAGCAGUAGGGAAUCUUACGCAGUGGGCGAAAGCCUUACGGAGCAACGCCGCGCGAGUGAUGAAGGUCUUCGGAUCGUAAAACUCUGUUAUUAGGGAAGAACAAAUGUGUAAGUAACUAUGGACGGCUUGACGGUACCUAAUCAGAAAGCCACGGCUAACUACGUG